Molecule: ribosomal RNA, 813 nt
Filed under: Escherichia coli
Lineage: Bacteria; Pseudomonadati; Pseudomonadota; Gammaproteobacteria; Enterobacterales; Enterobacteriaceae
Description: partial 23S ribosomal RNA
Rfam family: Bacterial large subunit ribosomal RNA
Source: RNAcentral
GGUUAAGCGACUAAGCGUACACGGUGGAUGCCCUGGCAGUCAGAGGCGAUGAAGGACGUGCUAAUCUGCGAUAAGCGUCGGUAAGGUGAUAUGAACCGUUAUAACCGGCGAUUUCCGAAUGGGGAAACCCAGUGUGUUUCGACACACUAUCAUUAACUGAAUCCAUAGGUUAAUGAGGCGAACCGGGGGAACUGAAACAUCUAAGUACCCCGAGGAAAAGAAAUCAACCGAGAUUCCCCCAGUAGCGGCGAGCGAACGGGGAGGAGCCCAGAGCCUGAAUCAGUGUGUGUGUUAGUGGAAGCGUCUGGAAAGGCGCGCGAUACAGGGUGACAGCCCCGUACACAAAAAUGCACAUGCUGUGAGCUCGAUGAGUAGGGCGGGACACGUGGUAUCCUGUCUGAAUAUGGGGGGACCAUCCUCCAAGGCUAAAUACUCCUGACUGACCGAUAGUGAACCAGUACCGUGAGGGAAAGGCGAAAAGAACCCCGGCGAGGGGAGUGAAAAAGAACCUGAAACCGUGUACGUACAAGCAGUGGGAGCACGCUUAGGCGUGUGACUGCGUACCUUUUGUAUAAUGGGUCAGCGACUUAUAUUCUGUAGCAAGGUUAACCGAAUAGGGGAGCCGAAGGGAAACCGAGUCUUAACUGGGCGUUAAGUUGCAGGGUAUAGACCCGAAACCCGGUGAUCUAGCCAUGGGCAGGUUGAAGGUUGGGUAACACUAACUGGAGGACCGAACCGACUAAUGUUGAAAAAUUAGCGGAUGACUUGUGGCUGGGGGUGAAAGGCCAAUCAAACCGGGAGAUAGCUGGUUCU